GCGCGAAACCUCUUCAAUGCACGCAAGUGUGAAAGGGGGAUCCCAAGUGCUCAAGCUUAGCUUGGGCUUUUGCUAUGUGUAAAUAGCAUGGCGAAUAAGUGGUGGGUAAGACUGGUGCCAGCCGCCGCGGUAACCCCAGCGCCACGAGUGGCACUCGCGUUUAUUGGGCCUAAAGCGUCCGUAGCAGGUUCUAUACAUCUCUUGUGAAAUUGCCAGGCUUAACUUGGCAGAGUGCAGGGGGCACUGUAGGACUUGAGACCGGGAAGGGUUAGAGGUAUUCCUGAGGGAGCGGUAAAAUGCUAUAAUCUCAGGAGGACCACCUGUGGCGAAGGCGUCUAACUAGAACGGAUCUGACUGUGAGGGACGAAAGCUAGGGGAGCAAAACGG
RNAcentral lists this ribosomal RNA (387 nucleotides) under uncultured euryarchaeote. RNAcentral's name for it is "bacterial SSU rRNA". It matches the Rfam family "Archaeal small subunit ribosomal RNA", at positions 339 to 727 of the family's 1478-position model. Lineage: Archaea; Methanobacteriati; Methanobacteriota. The record is from RNAcentral.